GCAGCAGCCGCGGUAAUACGGAGGGUGCAAGCGUUAAUCGGAAUUACUGGGCGUAAAGCGUGCGUAGGCGGUUCGUUAAGUCUGCUGUGAAAUCCCCGGGCUCAACCUGGGAAUGGCAGUGGAUACUGGCUCGCUAGAGUGUGUCAGAGGAUGGUGGAAUUCCCGGUGUAGCGGUGAAAUGCGUAGAGAUCGGGAGGAACAUCAGUGGCGAAGGCGGCCAUCUGGGACAACACUGACGCUGAGGCACGAAAGCGUGGGGAGCAAACAGGAUUAGAUACCCCUGUAGUCCCUGUCUCUUAUAC
RNAcentral lists this ribosomal RNA (302 nucleotides) under uncultured bacterium. RNAcentral describes it as "partial 16S ribosomal RNA". It matches the Rfam family "Bacterial small subunit ribosomal RNA", at positions 508 to 807 of the family's 1533-position model. The record is from RNAcentral.